GUAGGUGAACCUGCGGAAGGAUCAUUACCAAAUCCAAAAAAACUUUAUCAACACCCAAUGUGAACUGAGAGUGGUUUCGUUCCCCUCCUUCUUCCUUCUUUCUGCUCUUUCUUAAAGAGUGGGGAUGAGGGGUUGGCGGGAGGGGAAUGCCUUUUUUUAACCCCUUUACAACUAUACAACCAUUAUUUAUGCUGAAAGCAAAACAAAAACGAAACAUGAGACAACUUUUAACGGUGGAUCUCUUGGCUCG
This 250-nucleotide unclassified non-coding RNA is filed under the name plant metagenome. RNAcentral's name for it is "partial contains small subunit ribosomal RNA, internal transcribed spacer 1, and 5.8S ribosomal RNA". The record is from RNAcentral.